RNAcentral lists this long non-coding RNA (463 nucleotides) under Gossypium barbadense (sea-island cotton). RNAcentral describes it as "long non-coding RNA (GBAR_LNC012380)". Lineage: Eukaryota; Viridiplantae; Streptophyta; Magnoliopsida; Malvales; Malvaceae. The record is from RNAcentral.
CCAACUACAACACACACACACACACACACCAAAAGGGUAUCUAGAGAGAGAGAAACAGAAACAGUCUUGGGGUAUUUUAUUUUAUUUCUUUUGUUCCUCUUGUAAGCCUCUUCAUCGCCAUCAUUUGCGACCCUUCUUUAUAAAAUGUUUGAUUUUUUUUUCUGGGUUUAAACAAUUUUGAGAUGAGCAAAAGAAAUGGGAUUUUUAAAAAGGGUCUCUUUUUGUUGUGGGUCGGAUCUCUUUGUUGUACUUGAAACAGAGAACCUGUCACAUCUCAGCUGCUGAUUCUCGUUUUUUUAUCAUCUUCACUGAAACUAAAGCAAGCAACUUUUUUGUGAUCUGUUUUUUUUCUCUCUCUGUUCCUUGAUCUGUGUUCUUGGUUUCUCACAACAAAGAUGGAUGAAAGGAAAUGCAAGAAAUGAGUCACGGUUCCGGUUUGGUUCACUGGGUAUUUUCAGUUUUU